RNAcentral lists this ribosomal RNA (459 nucleotides) under uncultured bacterium. RNAcentral describes it as "partial 16S ribosomal RNA". It matches the Rfam family "Bacterial small subunit ribosomal RNA", at positions 338 to 795 of the family's 1533-position model. The record is from RNAcentral.
CCUACGGGGGGCAGCAGUAGGGAAUAUUGCUCAAUGGGGGAAACCCUGAAGCAGCAACGCCGCGUGGAGGAUGAAGGUACAGAGUAUCGUAAACCUCUUUUGUCAGGGAACAAAGACUGGGACGCGUCCCCGGAUGAGUGUACCUGAAGAAAAAGCAUCGGCUAACUCCGUGCCAGCAGCCGCGGUAAUACGGAGGAUGCGAGCGUUAUCCGGAUUUAUUGGGUUAAAAGGGUGCGCAGGCGGUCUGUUAAGUCAGCGGUCAAAGCCCGGGGAUCAACCCCGACCCGCCGUUGAAACUGGCAGUCUCGAGUUGGAGAGAGGUAUGCGGAAUGCGCGGUGUAGCGGUGAAAUGCAUAGAUAUCGCGCAGAACUCCGAUUGCGAAGGCAGCAUGCCGGCUCCACACUGACGCUGAGGCACGAAAGCGUGGGUAUCGAACAGGAUUAGAUACCCGGGUAGUC